RNAcentral lists this transfer RNA (76 nucleotides) under Salmonella enterica. Its description in RNAcentral is "tRNA-Ile". It matches the Rfam family "tRNA". Rfam says of the family: Transfer RNA (tRNA) molecules are approximately 80 nucleotides in length. Their secondary structure includes four short double-helical elements and three loops (D, anti-codon, and T loops). The record is from RNAcentral. Lineage: Bacteria; Pseudomonadati; Pseudomonadota; Gammaproteobacteria; Enterobacterales; Enterobacteriaceae.
GGGGGAAUAGCUCAGCUGGUAGAGCAUUCGACCGAUAAUCGAAAGGUCGCAGGUUCGAUCCCUGCUUCUCCCACCA